GGGAUGUAGAUCAAAGUCACAUUCCUCACAGUAGAAUGACCAGACUUGUCCCAUUUCGUCGCAUACAUCACAGACAUAAUUACUGCGACGAGUGAGCACCAGCUCAUGCUCCUCAUGCCGUUCAUCUUUCAGUUUCUCCGGCCACCCUUUUGCCAUCUCCUCAAUCUGUGCCUCAAUCUCCUUCAACCUCUCCUCAGUGAAAGGAUAAGCAUCCGCCCCAUGAGCCAUGACCAGACUCCUUGCCUCUUUUGUAAUAGUUUUUCCAGUUGGUCCGAGUGCUAUAAGCAUAGGGAUGCCUUGGACCUUGAAUUUGCGACUCAAUGAUGAUUUCCGAG
Molecule: long non-coding RNA, 335 nt
Filed under: Gossypium raimondii (Peruvian cotton)
Lineage: Eukaryota; Viridiplantae; Streptophyta; Magnoliopsida; Malvales; Malvaceae
Description: long non-coding RNA (GRAI_LNC004085)
Source: RNAcentral